This is a long non-coding RNA of Drosophila yakuba, 2216 nucleotides long. RefSeq lists it as uncharacterized. Lineage: Eukaryota; Metazoa; Arthropoda; Insecta; Diptera; Drosophilidae. The record is from RefSeq and is a predicted model, not a curated record. The transcript has 2 exons.
AGGUCCAAAGGACCCCAAAAAGGAUCUGGAUCCCCUCGAACGCAACGUUUUGUUGUCGCAUAAUUACAACUCAAUUGUAAUCCAAUUUUGGCCAGGCAUAUAAAUUCGAUUCAAGCACAAAGUCACGCCCCCGGCCUGGUGUCUGUGUCAACUUUUUCAGUGUCAAAUAAAUAAACUUUUGACAGUCGGCAGACAGGCCAGCGGGGUUUUUCGAGCUUCAACUCCGCCCGAAAAAGCCCAUCCACACACCUUUCGCUUUUGGCCACCACCGGAAAUGGAAAUUUGUUAACGAUGGGGGGUGGGCUCCCUCACCCCCAUCGUUUGCCAUGUACAUAAGUAUCUAGGGUACCAAAAUCAAUGCCCCAACAUAUGGAUUAUAACAGUCAUCUGACCAAGGGCUCAUCCGUUCAACCCCGUCGAGGGCAGAACUCUUGAUAACUGCAAAUUAGUUGCACAUGUUCCACAUGGGCCACAACUCAAAACAAGACGUGUUUGCACUAAUUUGGCCAAAAUCAACAGCUGUGUGUACAUGUGCUGCCAUCUUAUGCUCGCUGUAUACCCAACAGAAGCAGCCCCAAAAAAAUAAAAUAAAAUAAAAGGGAACUAGCAAAAUUUUGGGGCGAAAAACGAGAAGAAAAACAGAAAAAAUGCCUAGAAAACUUGUUAUAAUUACACACUGGCACACACACAAGCACACUCUCACACGUGCUGGAUGGCCGUAUGUGUACGUAAGUUUUACACUUAAAGAAAUAAAUACGACUUCGUCAUUAAAUAAAAAUUAUCUAUGCCUUCAAUAAUUCUUCACUAGUAAAACAAAGUAUAAAUCGAUUUUAAGAGAUAUUAAUUUGAAAGCCCGCAGAAUAAUUCAAUAAAAAUUUGUAUUUCAUAACAUUAUAUUUGAAUGGUUCUGAUUCCUAUUUCCUUAAUGUGUAUGACUUACUUAGUGACUGCAGGGCAAGGAAUUUGGAAUGGGGGAAAGGAGGAGUACGGGGACAUGCAUGAACAGGCAACAUAUGUUGGACUUUGGAGGAAACUUUUGCGAGUUUUCGGGGCGCCCUUCUACUAUCACCCUUGUGGCAGCUCCAUGUAUUGGCACCUCCACUUCGCAGGAUUUCGCCGAGUGGAAUUUGUGUGUUUUGUGGUUGAGUAGGCGCACAGUUUAGGCACAGAAUGCAACAGCUGCGAGAGCCCCCAUUCCAAAGGACGAAAAUGUCCUGCCUAACUCACAGUUUGAGUUUUGCCUGUUGCCGAAAGACCUUGUGACAACUUACUCACUUAUCUCUGAUGAGUCAAGAUAAGUCGCAUAAUUGCAUGGGACUCAAGCUUUAAAAAAAUAAUGUAAGUGUUUCAAAUAAAUUUAUUUUAACAAAAAUAUGUUAUAUAUUCAUUCAGGAACUGUCCCCAACAAAAUGCAAUAAAAAGCAAGGGUUUCCCAGUGCCUGAAAAGAUCCCCGUUAACAAUCGACUACCUGAUUCCAAUAGCAUUGUGUGCCGCUCUCAGAGGGCCACAAAAGCCCCAUGAUACUUUAAAAAAUAAUAAUGACAACAGUUUCAAUAGUAGUCUGGAAACAAUCAGAGCAGCGGCCACAUGAUGCCAACUUUUCAGGGACUCUACGCAGAAAUAAAAACCUGCAACGAAAGCCGUGGGAAUUGUUAACGGAGGCUUAAUAAGAAUGGGGUAAAUCCUACGAAAAAAUAAAGGCACAAACUUUUGGGCCAAUUUUUUUUGGUUGAAAAAAAAUAAUGAAAAGGACCCCGCCAAACUGUGGAAAAAUUGCCCAAAAAUCGCUCGGCCAACGGGAAAAAAGAGAAAUAUGCCAAUGAAAUGGGCUGUUUCCCAGCCCUGGAAAACGUGUUUUGUGUAUGUGGGUGUGCAAAACUGAUGGCCCGUCUGGGCCAAAAGCAAAACCAGAGCCAAAGAGAAAGCCAUGUGCCUCGAAAUGCGGGACACGUACUUGCGCUAUAAUUAUUUCGUACGUGAGCACGUGAGCCCGCCGAAAGACAAUGAGUCGCUGGAUCCGGAGAAAUGAAAAACGGAGACCCGAGUUCGAAGACCGGAGUCCGGAGAGCGUCUACGUCUACGUCUAGGGCCGGAAGGAGAUGUCGAGCCCGCUAAGGUUAGCAUAUGCAUGAAGCACAUCAGAGAAUUUAAAGUUUUGAAGUGCGGAAUUCCAUCGAAAGAAUAAAGCUGGAAAAGAAUCCAACAAUAAGAAUAA